RNAcentral lists this ribosomal RNA (457 nucleotides) under uncultured bacterium. Its description in RNAcentral is "bacterial SSU rRNA". It matches the Rfam family "Bacterial small subunit ribosomal RNA", at positions 28 to 497 of the family's 1533-position model. The record is from RNAcentral.
GAUGAACGCUGGCGGCGUGCUUAACACAUGCAAGUCGAACGAUUGAAGCUGGAGCUUGCUCCGGCCGAUUUAGUGGCGGACGGGUGAGUAACGCGUGGGUAACCUGCCUCAUACAGGGGGAUAGCAGUUGGAAACGACUGGUAAAACCGCAUAAGCGCACGGUAUCGCAUGAUACAGUGUGAAAACACUCCGGUGGUAUGAGAUGGACCCGCGUCUGAUUAGCUAGUUGGUGAGGUAACGGCCCACCAAGGCGACGAUCAGUAGCCGGCCUGAGAGGGUGAACGGCCACAUUGGGACUGAGACACGGCCCAAACUCCUACGGGAGGCAGCAGUGGGGAAUAUUGCACAAUGGGGGAAACCCUGAUGCAGCGACGCCGCGUGAGUGAUGAAGUAUUUCGGUAUGUAAAGCUCUAUCAGCAGGGAAGAUAAUGACGGUACCUGACUAAGAAGCACCGGC